GUGAAUCAUCGAAUUUUUGAACGCAAAUUGCACUUUCUGGUAUUCCGGAAAGUAUGCCUGUUUGAGUGUCAGUUAAAUAAUAAUCGGUGUUAUUUCUAUUAAUGGUGAUGCAUCGGAAUUGAGUCGUCUUUACAUUUGGUUUUAUGUGACUUAAAAUUAUGUACGAUUUAUGAACGUAUUUCUAUUCUUUACUUACGCUCAUGAUAUCACAUAUUUGGUGCGGUCAUCCACAUGAUUACUCGUGUAUAAUUUUUCAUUAAUUGAGUUCAAAUCAGUUAAGAA
This 282-nucleotide unclassified non-coding RNA is filed under the name Glomeraceae sp. RNAcentral's name for it is "partial contains 5.8S ribosomal RNA and internal transcribed spacer 2". The stretch from base 1 to 71 matches the Rfam family "5.8S ribosomal RNA", at positions 84 to 154 of the family's 154-position model. Lineage: Eukaryota; Fungi; Glomeromycota; Glomeromycetes; Glomerales; Glomeraceae. The record is from RNAcentral.